AAAUAACUGACUUUAAUCCUAUCGAGAGAGGAAGAUCCUACAAGGACUGCACAUAUAGGAUCAUUGCUGACCACUGAAUUUCGAGAUCGACUUCUAAAUUUUUUAUAUAGAAAUAUAGAUAAUUUUGCUUGGUCAGCCUCGGACAUGCUAGAAAUCACCUUUAAGGUAAUUAUCUAUAAAUUAAAUAGUUAUCCAAAACACAAAUCAAUUCAGCAG
Molecule: long non-coding RNA, 216 nt
Filed under: Elaeis guineensis (African oil palm)
Lineage: Eukaryota; Viridiplantae; Streptophyta; Magnoliopsida; Arecales; Arecaceae
Description: long non-coding RNA (EGUI_LNC035538)
Source: RNAcentral